This 530-nucleotide ribosomal RNA is filed under the name Streptococcus intermedius. RNAcentral's name for it is "bacterial SSU rRNA". It matches the Rfam family "Bacterial small subunit ribosomal RNA", at positions 841 to 1372 of the family's 1533-position model. The record is from RNAcentral. Lineage: Bacteria; Bacillati; Bacillota; Bacilli; Lactobacillales; Streptococcaceae.
UAGUGCCGCAGCUAACGCAUUAAGCACUCCGCCUGGGGAGUACGACCGCAAGGUUGAAACUCAAAGGAAUUGACGGGGGCCCGCACAAGCGGUGGAGCAUGUGGUUUAAUUCGAAGCAACGCGAAGAACCUUACCAGGUCUUGACAUCCCGAUGCCCGCUCUAGAGAUAGAGCUUUACUUCGGUACAUCGGUGACAGGUGGUGCAUGGUUGUCGUCAGCUCGUGUCGUGAGAUGUUGGGUUAAGUCCCGCAACGAGCGCAACCCUUAUUGUUAGUUGCCAUCAUUCAGUUGGGCACUCUAGCGAGACUGCCGGUAAUAAACCGGAGGAAGGUGGGGAUGACGUCAAAUCAUCAUGCCCCUUAUGACCUGGGCUACACACGUGCUACAAUGGCUGGUACAACGAGUCGCAAGCCGGUGACGGCAAGCUAAUCUCUGAAAGCCAGUCUCAGUUCGGAUUGUAGGCUGCAACUCGCCUACAUGAAGUCGGAAUCGCUAGUAAUCGCGGAUCAGCACGCCGCGGUGAAUACGUU